GACGAACGCUGGCGGCGUGCUUAACACAUGCAAGUCGAACGGAAAGGCCCUGCUUGCAGGGUACUCGAGUGGCGAACGGGUGAGUAACACGUGGGUGAUCUGCCCUGCACUUCGGGAUAAGCCUGGGAAACUGGGUCUAAUACCGGAUAGGAGCCAUUUUUAGUGUGAUGGUUGGAAAGUUUUUUUCGGUGUAGGAUGAGCUCGCGGCCUAUCAGCUUGUUGGUGGGGUAAUGGCCUACCAAGGCGGCGACGGGUAGCCGGCCUGAGAGGGUGGACGGCCACAUUGGGACUGGGAGACGGACCAGACGCCGACGGGAGGCAGAAGUGGGGAAGAGUGCACAAGGGGCGCAAGCCUGAUGCAGCGACGCCGCGGGGGGGAUGACGGCCUUCGGGUUGGAAACGCAUUUCGCUAGGGACGAAGCUGUUUGUGACGGUACCUAGAGAAGAAGCACCGGCUAACUACGUG
RNAcentral lists this ribosomal RNA (466 nucleotides) under uncultured bacterium. RNAcentral describes it as "partial 16S ribosomal RNA". It matches the Rfam family "Bacterial small subunit ribosomal RNA", at positions 28 to 507 of the family's 1533-position model. The record is from RNAcentral.